AUUGAACGCUGGCGGCAUGCCUUACACAUGCAAGUCGAACGGUAACAGGUCUUCGGAUGCUGACGAGUGGCGAACGGGUGAGUAAUACAUCGGAACGUGCCCGAUCGUGGGGGAUAACGGAGCGAAAGCUUUGCUAAUACCGCAUACGAUCUACGGAUGAAAGCAGGGGACCGCAAGGCCUUGCGCGGACGGAGCGGCCGAUGGCAGAUUAGGUAGUUGGUGGGAUAAAAGCUUACCAAGCCGACGAUCUGUAGCUGGUCUGAGAGGACGACCAGCCACACUGGGACUGAGACACGGCCCAGACUCCUACGGGAGGCAGCAGUGGGGAAUUUUGGACAAUGGGCGAAAGCCUGAUCCAGCCAUGCCGCGUGCAGGAUGAAGGCCUUCGGUUGUAACUAGCUUUGUACGGACGAAAGACUCUUCUAUAAGGGGUCAGUGACGGUACGUAAGAAUAAGACACCGCGUAACUACGUGCCAGCAGCCGCGGUAACUACG
This 495-nucleotide ribosomal RNA is filed under the name uncultured bacterium. RNAcentral describes it as "bacterial SSU rRNA". It matches the Rfam family "Bacterial small subunit ribosomal RNA", at positions 30 to 527 of the family's 1533-position model. The record is from RNAcentral.